UGGGGAAUAUUGGACAAUGGGCGCAAGCCUGAUCCAGCAAUGCCGCGUGUGUGAAGAAGGCCCUCGGGUUGUAAAGCACUUUUAUCAGGAGCGAAAUCUGCAAGGCUAAUACCCUUGUAGUCUGACGGUACCUGAGGAAUAAGCACCGGCUAACUCCGUGCCAGCAGCCGCGGUAAUACGGAGGGUGCAAGCGUUAAUCGGAAUUACUGGGCGUAAAGCGUGUGUAGGCGGUUUGUUAAGUCUGUUGUGAAAGCCCCGGGCUCAACCUGGGAAUGGCAAUGGAUACUGGCAAGCUAGAGUGUGAUAGAGGAUGGUGGAAUUCCCGGUGUAGCGGUGAAAUGCGUAGAGAUCGGGAGGAACAUCAGUGGCGAAGGCGGCCAUCUGGAUCAACACUGACGCUGAGACACGAAAGCGUGGGGGAGCAAAACAGGAUUAGAUACCCUGGUAGUCCACGCCCUAAACGAUGCGAACUGGAUGUUGGUCUCAACUCGGAGAUCAGUGUCGAAGCUAACGCGUUAAGUUCGCCGCCUGGGGAGUACGGUCGCAAGACUGAAACUUAAAUGAAUUGACGGGGUCAUAGCUGUUUCCUG
Molecule: ribosomal RNA, 590 nt
Filed under: uncultured bacterium
Lineage: Bacteria
Description: partial 16S ribosomal RNA
Rfam family: Bacterial small subunit ribosomal RNA
Source: RNAcentral